GAAGAAUCUUAUUUUUGUUUUUGAAAGAAAAUAAAGGAGAAGGAAAUGAAACCAAUCCAAAUUAUGUGACAAAGGAAUUUUUGUAUUGUUUGAAGCCACGCAUAUAUAUUUCAUCGGACAAAUCAUAGGAAUCUCAAUUGGGUGGUUGUGUUAGGUGAGCAUUUAAAAGUUAAUGAUUUUUUCCAAACAAAUUGAAGUUUAGUAAUUAGAAUGAAUUAGCGACGUGAGUAAAAAUUACCCACAUUCAGUAGCAUACAUUUAGUUGCAUUGAUCUUAUCUGGAUUCUGCAGACAAAUCUUAAGCAGAAAAUUAAUUACCAUGAAUGGAAUUUCAGGUGCACCGUUCAAAAAAUUUGCAUCCAUGCGGGAUGAGUGGGCACUCAAGAGUCGAUACAUUAGUCCUGGUCCCAUCCAAUUUAUGGGGCCAGGAUGCGAUGCCGUUAGUCACACCUUAUUGUCGGAAUUGGGCGCUGACGCUUAGGUGUGCAUGGGAUUGUGGGUAGGUGGAAAUUCACGCUCUACCGGUGCAUAUCUGAUUCUUGUUGCUCCUUUCAUAUCCUCCAUUUCCCUGUUAUUGUUGCUGUUUUCUGAGUGUAUGAUUCUGCAAUUCACGGUAGUUUAGCUUUACAAUUUACACCCCAUUAGCUGGACUUCUUUAUUGAAGUUUCUAAUACAAGUCUUCUUUUGUGUCA
This is a long non-coding RNA of Manihot esculenta (cassava), 691 nucleotides long. RefSeq lists it as uncharacterized. The record is from RefSeq and is a predicted model, not a curated record. The transcript has 2 exons. NCBI's taxonomy places the organism in Eukaryota, Viridiplantae, Streptophyta, Magnoliopsida, Malpighiales, Euphorbiaceae.